RNAcentral lists this ribosomal RNA (1196 nucleotides) under Candidatus Phytoplasma oryzae. RNAcentral describes it as "bacterial SSU rRNA". It matches the Rfam family "Bacterial small subunit ribosomal RNA", at positions 161 to 1374 of the family's 1533-position model. Lineage: Bacteria; Bacillati; Mycoplasmatota; Mollicutes; Acholeplasmatales; Acholeplasmataceae. The record is from RNAcentral.
GGGGGAUUUGGCAUCUUUUUAUUUUUAAAAGACCUUUUUCGGAAGGUAUGCUUAAAGAGGGGCUUGCGUCACAUUAGUUAGUUGGCAGGGUAAAGGCCUACCAAGACUAUGAUGUGUAGCUGGACUGAGAGGUUGAACAGCCACAUUGGGACUGAGACACGGCCCAAACUCCUACGGGAGGCAGCAGUAGGGAAUUUUCGGCAAUGGAGGAAACUCUGACCGAGCAACGCCGCGUGAACGAUGAAGUAUUUCGGUAUGUAAAGUUCUUUUAUUGAAGAAGAAAAAAUAGUGGAAAAACUAUCUUGACGAUAUUCAAUGAAUAAGCCCCGGCAAACUAUGUGCCAGCAGCCGCGGUAAUACAUAGGGGGCGAGCGUUAUCCGGAAUUAUUGGGCGUAAAGGGUGCGUAGGCGGUUUAAUAAGUCUAUAGUUUAAUUUCAGUGCUUAACACUGUCCUGCUAUAGAAACUAUUAGACUAGAGUGAGAUAGAGGCAAGUGGAAUUCCAUGUGUAGCGGUAAAAUGCGUAAAUAUAUGGAGGAACACCAGAGGCGUAGGCGGCUUGCUGGGUCUUUACUGACGCUGAGGCACGAAAGCGUGGGGAGCAAACAGGAUUAGAUACCCUGGUAGUCCACGCCGUAAACGAUGAGUACUAAGUGUCGGGAUUACUCGGUACUGAAGUUAACACAUUAAGUACUCCGCCUGAGUAGUACGUACGCAAGUAUGAAACUUAAAGGAAUUGACGGGACUCCGCACAAGCGGUGGAUCAUGUUGUUUAAUUCGAAGAUACACGAAAAACCUUACCAGGUCUUGACAUACUCUGCAAAGCUAUAGCAAUAUAGUGGAGGUUAUCAGGGAUACAGGUGGUGCAUGGUUGUCGUCAGCUCGUGUCGUGAGAUGUUAGGUUAAGUCCUAAAACGAGCGCAACCCUUGUCAUUAGUUGCCAGCAUGUCAUGAUGGGCACUUUAAUGAGACUGCCAAUGAAAAAUUGGAGGAAGGUGAGGAUCACGUCAAAUCAUCAUGCCCCUUAUGAUCUGGGCUACAAACGUGAUACAAUGGCUGUUACAAAGAGUAGCUGAAACGCAAGUUUAUAGCCAAUCUCAUAAAAGCAGUCUCAGUUCGGAUUGAAGUCUGCAACUCGACUUCAUGAAGUUGGAAUCGCUAGUAAUCGCGAAUCAGCAUGUCGCGUAAUUUAAUUUU